CCUACGGGUGGCAGCAGUGAGGAAUAUUGGUCCAUGGGCGCGCGCCUGAACCAGCCAAGUCGCGUGAGGGAUGAAGGUUCUAUGGAUCGUAAACCUCUUUUAUAAGGGAAUAAAGUGUGGGACGUGUCCUAUUUUGUAUGUACCUUAUGAAUAAGGAUCGGCUCACUCCGUGCCAGCAGCCGCGGUAAUACGGAGGAUCCGAGCGUUAUCCGGAUUUAUUGGGUUUAACGGGUGCGUAGGCGGCCUUUUAAGUCAGCGGUGAAAGUUUGUUGCUCAACAAUAGAAUUGACGUUGAAACUGGGGGGCUUGAGUAUGUUUGCGGCAGGCGGAAUGCGUGGUGUAGCGGUGAAAUGCUUAGAUAUCACGCAGAACCCCGAUUGCGAAGGCAGCCUGCCAAGCCAUGACUGACGCUGAUGCACGAAAGCGUGGGGAUCAAACAGGAUUAGAUACCCCGGUAGUC
Molecule: ribosomal RNA, 460 nt
Filed under: uncultured bacterium
Lineage: Bacteria
Description: partial 16S ribosomal RNA
Rfam family: Bacterial small subunit ribosomal RNA
Source: RNAcentral